CGCGUAGGCGGACUUUUUAGUCAGGCGUGAAAGCCCCGGGCUCAACCCGGGAACUGCGUUUGAUACUGGAAGUCUAGAGUUCUGGAGAGGGUGGUGGAAUUCCCAGUGUAGAGGUGAAAUUCGUAGAUAUUGGGAAGAACACCGGUGGCGAAGGCGGCCACCUGGCCAGACACUGACGCUAAGGCGCGAAAGCGUGGGGAGCAAACAGGAUUAGAUACCCUGGUAGUC
RNAcentral lists this ribosomal RNA (228 nucleotides) under uncultured bacterium. Its description in RNAcentral is "partial 16S ribosomal RNA". It matches the Rfam family "Bacterial small subunit ribosomal RNA", at positions 568 to 795 of the family's 1533-position model. The record is from RNAcentral.